GCGCCAGUAGUCUAGUGGUAUGAUGUGACCCUCCCAAGGUUGCGACCCGGGUUCGAUUCCCGGUUGGCGCA
RNAcentral lists this transfer RNA (71 nucleotides) under Cardiosporidium cionae. Its description in RNAcentral is "tRNA-Gly". It matches the Rfam family "tRNA". From Rfam's summary of the family: Transfer RNA (tRNA) molecules are approximately 80 nucleotides in length. Their secondary structure includes four short double-helical elements and three loops (D, anti-codon, and T loops). Lineage: Eukaryota; Apicomplexa; Aconoidasida; Nephromycida. The record is from RNAcentral.